UUAACUCAUACCAUAAUCCAGUAAGGUGCUAUUAGUUCAGCAAGAUGCAUAUUAUUUCCCCAAAGUGAAUUUGUUAGGUUAGCACAAAUGUCUACUUACAAAGGUAAAUUCACUAAUAUUAGCAAUAGAAAACAAUAACCUGGUGAUUGGAGGCCCAUUUUCAUAGUGUUAUUGGAGACUGAAUGACAUUUCCAUUCUGUCUCAUUCACUUUAACAGAAGUCAAUUUUAAUGCGACAGGCCCGAGUUGCAUUUUCUGUAGUCACUUGCUGACACUGAGCAUAGGGAAGGUUUUUACUCUAGAAAGGAUUAUUUUUACUCUAUGUCUGAAUUUC
Molecule: long non-coding RNA, 333 nt
Filed under: Bos taurus (domestic cattle)
Lineage: Eukaryota; Metazoa; Chordata; Mammalia; Artiodactyla; Bovidae
Description: long non-coding RNA NONBTAT026934
Source: RNAcentral